GUCUUCGGCCAUACCAGCCUGAACGCGCCCGAUCUCGUCUGAUCUCGGAAGCUAAGAAGGGUCGGGCCUGGUUAGUACUUGGAUGGGAGAAAUGAUUUGGAUAGUUGGGAAAAAUGGGUGGAAAAUG
RNAcentral lists this ribosomal RNA (127 nucleotides) under Ochotona princeps (American pika). The record is from RNAcentral. Lineage: Eukaryota; Metazoa; Chordata; Mammalia; Lagomorpha; Ochotonidae.